This 450-nucleotide ribosomal RNA is filed under the name Ips typographus. Its description in RNAcentral is "partial 12S ribosomal RNA". Lineage: Eukaryota; Metazoa; Arthropoda; Insecta; Coleoptera; Curculionidae. The record is from RNAcentral.
UUUAAACUAGGGAUUAGAUACCCUAUUAUUAAAAUGUAAUUAUUUUAUCUAAAUUAGUGCUAGGGGAGAAAAUUAGGAGAGAUUUUAAAUUCUUGAAAAUUAAGAAGAAUGGCGGUAUUUUAGUCUUUUCAGAGGAACCUGUCCUGUAAUUGAUAGUCCACGAUUUUUAUUACUUUUUUUUUUAGUUUAUAUAUCGCUGUGGUUGAAUAUUUUUUUUGAAGAGUCAAAUAUUCAGAGUUUUUAAAAAAAGAAAUUCAGGUCAAGAUGUAGUUUAUAAAAAAGAAGAGAUGGGUUACAAUAAUUUAAAUUUUGGAAAAAUUUUUUAAAAUAGUUUUAAAAUUGGAUUUGAGAGUAAUUAUGUAAAUUCAUAUAAAAUGAUUUUAGCUCUAAAAUGUGUACAUAUCGCCCGUCGCUUUCAUUUUAAAAUGAAAUAAGUCGAAACAUAGUAAA